AUGAGCAGCCUCGUGGAGCGGCUGCGCGUGCGGUCGGACAAGCGGCCCCGCUACACACUAGAUGAGUCCGACGACGACUUCCCGCCGCGCGGCGGGAACGGGAAGGGGAAGGAUCGAGAUGGCGACCCCCCUGUCAAGCAGAUCGAGCGCGAGGACGCGAAAGAAGAUGCUUGCCGAAAAUGUGGGCUAAGUGAUAAUCUUGUGUCUUGUACAACAUGUACAUAUGCAUUUCACCGGAAAUGUCUGGUUCCUUGCCUAAAUAUCACAUCUGAUAAGUGGAGCUGCCCUGAAUGUGUAAGCCCACUGACAGAGAUGGAGAAGAUAUUAGAUUGCGAAACGAAGGUUGCUUCUGAAGAGACUAGUUCUUCAGAGUCUGGAUCAAAUAAGAAACCUGUCAAGCAAUAUCUGAUUAAAUGGAAAGGAUUAUCACACAUUCACUGCACUUGGGUGUCAGAAGAUGAAUAUUUUGAGGCUGCGAAGAUACACCCUCGGUUGAAAACUAGAUUGAAUAACUUCAAUAGACAGUUUGAGUCGACGGAUAAAUCUGACGAUGACUAUGUUCCAAUUAGGCCUGAAUGGACAACUGUUGACAGGGUCCUUGCUAGCAGAAAAAACUCUAGUGGUGAAAGGGAGUACUAUGUGAAAUGGAAGGAACUUUCAUACGAUGAAUGCACAUGGGAAAGUGAGUCUGACAUCUCAGUGUUUCAACCUCAGAUUGAGCGCUACAAUGAGAUUCUGUCCAGGCGCAAGAAAUCUACUGACAAGAGUAAGAAUGCCGAUCGUGCGAUGCGUCAUGCUGAACAGACUCCCGAGUUUCUUACUGGUGGCACACUACACCCUUAUCAGCUUGAAGGGUUAAACUUUCUGCGUUAUUCAUGGUCUAUUAAUAAACGUGUCAUCCUUGGUGAUGAGAUGGGUCUUGGGAAAACAAUACAAAGUAUUGCUUUUCUGGCCUCUGUGUCUGAAGACAAGUUUGGUCCCCAUCUAGUUGUUGCCCCUCUCUCAACCUUGCGAAAUUGGGAGCGUGAAUUUGCAACUUGGGCACCUCAAAUGAAUGUUAUUAUGUAUUUUGGAUCUGGAUCUUCUCGUGACAUUAUCAAGAAGUAUGAAUUUUACUAUUCCAAAGAUAAUCCUAAGAAGCUGAAGAAAAAUAAAUCAUCUUCAUCUAAUGAUGAAAAGAAGGAGUCAAGAAUAAAAUUUGAUGUCCUUUUGACAUCUUAUGAGAUGAUUAACAUGGAUUCUGCAGUCCUGAAAACUAUAGAAUGGGAGUGCAUGAUUGUGGAUGAGGGGCACCGCUUGAAGAACAAAGAUUCAAAGUUGUUUGGUCUACUUAAAGAUUAUCAUACUCAACAUCGUGUUCUCUUAACGGGGACCCCAGUUCAGAAUAACCUGGAUGAGCUUUUCAUGCUGAUGCACUUCCUCGAGGGUGAAACUUUUGGGAGUAUAUCUGAUCUCCAAGAGGAGUUUAAGGAUAUCAACCAAGACAAGCAAGUCGAGAAGCUCCAUGGAAUGCUGAAGCCACACCUUCUUCGGAGAUUCAAGAAAGAUGUUAUGAAGGAACUUCCUCCAAAAAAGGAGCUGAUUUUACGAGUUGAGCUGACAAGCAAACAGAAAGAGUACUACAAGGCAAUUCUCACCAAGAACUACGCCGUGUUAUCUCGUCGUGGUGGUGGACAUGUUUCCCUUAUAAAUGUCGUAAUGGAGCUACGCAAACUUUGUUGCCAUGGAUUCAUGACGGAUGAACCUGAUACUGAGCCUGCGAGCCCAGAAGAAGGUUUAAGGAGGCUUUUAGAUUCUUCUGGAAAGAUGCAACUAUUAGACAAGAUGAUGGUGAAGCUGAAAGAGCAGGGUCAUAGAGUCCUUAUCUAUUCACAGUUCCAACAUAUGUUGGACUUACUGGAGGAUUAUUUAAGCUACAGGAAAUGGAGCUACGAACGUAUUGAUGGCAAGAUAGGUGGCGCUGAAAGGCAGAUACGAAUAGAUCGCUUCAAUGCUAAGACUUCUACUAGGUUCUGCUUUCUUCUUUCUACCAGAGCUGGUGGCCUGGGUAUAAAUUUGGCAACGGCUGAUACUGUAAUUAUCUAUGACAGUGACUGGAAUCCACACGCGGAUCUACAAGCUAUGGCAAGAGCCCAUCGUUUAGGGCAGACUAGCAAGGUUAUGAUAUAUAGACUUGUUAGUCGAGGUACAAUUGAGGAGCGAAUGAUGCAGCUUACAAAGAAAAAGAUGAUACUGGAGCACUUAGUUGUUGGGAGACUCACAAAGGCUAGUAAUGUCAAUCAGGAGGAGUUAGAUGAUAUUAUCCGGUAUGGGUCAAAAGAACUUUUUGAUGAUGAAGAGGAUGAAGCUGGAAAGUCCCGCCAAAUACAUUAUGACGAUGCUGCAAUAGAUAGGUUAUUGGACCGUGACCAAGUCGACGAGGAAGAGUAUUUGGAAGAUGAAGAAGAUGACGAAUUUCUGAAAGGUUUCAAGGUUGCGAACUUCGAGUACAUAGAUGAGGCUAAAGCUUUAGCAGCAAAAGAGGAGGCACGCAAAAAAGCGGAAGCUGAAGCCGCAUCCAAUAAAGCAAACUAUUGGGAAGAAUUAUUGAAAGACAGAUGCGUUGAGCAAGAAGUAGAAGAAAUUGCUAUGGGAAAAGGAAAAAGAAGCCGCAAGCAGAUGGCUGCUGCUGAUGAGGAUGACAUUACUGGCCUGCAUGAGUUAAGUUCUGAAGACGAGGAUUACUCCUAUGAUGAUGAUGUGUCGGAUAAUGACACGAGUUUACCAGCAAAUGUUUCUGGGAGGAAGGCUCAGUAUUCUAAGAAAAACUCACGUAAUGUAGAUUCACUCCCUUUGAUGGAGGGUGAAGGGCGUGCUUUAAAAGUUUAUGGAUUCAAUCACGUUCAACGAACACAAUUCCUACAGACACUCAUGAGGUAUGGUUUUCAGAACUAUGAUUGGAAAGAGUAUCUUCCUCGUUUGAAGGGGAAAAGUGUCGAGGAAAUUCAGAGCUAUGUUACAAAAACCUUGGAUAAGAUUACUUGCAAUCAGAGAGACCUCAUAUGCCAUUUCACAAAAUAUGGUGAGCUUGUCAUGGCCCAUCUUGUAGAGGACACAAAUGACUCACCAACCUAUGCAGAUGGUGUGCCGAAGGAAAUGCGUGCUGAUGAGACAUUGGUCAGGCUAGCCAAAAUAUCACUUGUGGAGGAGAAGGUGGCUGCCAUGGAGCAAGGAAAAAUUACAAAACUCUUCCCCAACUACUUGUUGCAUGAAUUUACUGGCUUAUCAGGUGGAAGAAUAUGGAAAGGGGAACAUGAUCUACUGUUACUGAAAGCAUUAAUAAAGCACGGGUAUGCCAGGUGGCAAUACAUAUCAGAUGACAGAGAUAACGGGCUAUUUGAAACUGCUCGACGGGAGCUUAAUCUUCCUUCUGCUAAUGAAUUGAUUAGUUCUCAGUCAAACAAUGAGGCAAAUGGAAAUCUGGAAAGCACACAGGAAGUGCAGGUGAACCCAACGAGCUUAUCUCAAUACAGGGACAUCCAGAGAAAGAUUGUUGAGUUUAUCAGAAAGAGAUACCAUAUUCUGGAAAAAUGCUUGGACCUUGAAUAUGCCGUGAUAAAAACGAAUACUCCUGUUCCUGAUGAUCUUACUGAACAAAAUAUUCCUAUGGGACAUAGCCCAGCUGUUCCAGAUAUCAGUGAAGUGUUGAGAGAACUUCCCCCUCUUGUACCAAUUUCUGCCAAAGAAGUGGCUUCUGAUGGCUCAACUGACCAGGCACACCUUUCCCAUCUUUACAACAAGAUGUGCGGUGUGCUUGAAGACAGCGGCCCACGUGCACUCAAUUCGUUCUGUGGUGACAAGGCAGCCUCUGCGAGUCUAGCCAACAGCCUCCAUCAGUUCGAGAAAGUAUGCGAGGACGUUGAUCGGGUCUUGAGAGUCCAAGAGAACGGUGCUGCUACCCCCAAAGAGCAAGUGGUAGAUGCCAGUGUCGAAGAAGCCAAGCCUCCACAAGAUGCAGGCGUUGCGGCGGCAAACGGUGUCGGGCCUUCAACUGUAAAGCCGGAGGACAAAAUGGAAAUCGAUGGUUGA
This 4068-nucleotide ribosomal RNA is filed under the name Triticum aestivum (bread wheat). RNAcentral's name for it is "partial small subunit ribosomal RNA". The record is from RNAcentral. Lineage: Eukaryota; Viridiplantae; Streptophyta; Magnoliopsida; Poales; Poaceae.